AGGCCCCUCCUUCCCAGCCACAGCUCCUGCUCGCCCCUGCCACGUCAAAAGAGGCAGAAGGGGAGUCGGAGCAGAAAGGGGACCC
Molecule: microRNA precursor, 85 nt
Organism: Bos taurus (domestic cattle)
Lineage: Eukaryota; Metazoa; Chordata; Mammalia; Artiodactyla; Bovidae
Product: bta-mir-3154
Source: Ensembl